This 253-nucleotide ribosomal RNA is filed under the name uncultured bacterium. Its description in RNAcentral is "partial 16S ribosomal RNA". It matches the Rfam family "Bacterial small subunit ribosomal RNA", at positions 524 to 776 of the family's 1533-position model. The record is from RNAcentral.
UACGGAGGAUCCAAGCGUUAUCCGGAUUUAUUGGGUUUAAAGGGUGCGUAGGCGGCUUAUUAAGUCGGGGGUGAAAGACGGUGGCUCAACCAUCGCAGUGCCCUUGAUACUGAUGAGCUCGAAUACACUUGAGGUAGGCGGAAUGUGACAAGUAGCGGUGAAAUGCAUAGAUAUGUCACAGAACACCAAUUGCGAAGGCAGCUUACUAAGGUGCAAUUGACGCUGAGGCACGAAAGCGUGGGGAUCAAACAGG